AUUGAACGCUGGCGGCAGGCUUAACACAUGCAAGUCGAGCGGGGUGAUGGUGCUUGCACUAUCACUUAGCGGCGGACGGGUGAGUAAUGCUUAGGAAUCUGCCUAUUAGUGGGGGACAACAUCUCGAAAGGGAUGCUAAUACCGCAUACGCCCUACGGGAGAAAGCAGGGGAUCACUUGUGACCUUGCGCUAAUAGAUGAGCCUAAGUCGGAUUAGCUAGUUGGUGGGGUAAAGGCCUACCAAGGCGACGAUCUGUAGCGGGUCUGAGAUGAUGAUCCGGCACACUGGGACUGAGACACGGCCCAGGCUCCUACGGGAGGCAGCAGUGGGGAAUAGUGGACAAUGGGGGGAACCCUGAUCCAGCCAUGCCGCGUGUGUGAAGAAGGCCUUAUGGUUGUAAAGCACUUUAAGCGAGGAGGAGGCUCUUUUGGUUAACACCCAAGAUGAGUGGACGUUACUCGCAGAAUAAGCACCGGCUAACUCUGUGCCAGCCGCCGCCGUAA
Molecule: ribosomal RNA, 503 nt
Filed under: uncultured bacterium
Lineage: Bacteria
Description: partial 16S ribosomal RNA
Rfam family: Bacterial small subunit ribosomal RNA
Source: RNAcentral